ACCUGGGUGGCUCAGUCGGUUGAGCGUCCGACUUCGGCUCAGGUCAUGAUCUUUUGGUUCGUGGGUUCGAGCCCCACAUCAGGCU
RNAcentral lists this transfer RNA (85 nucleotides) under Felis catus (domestic cat). It matches the Rfam family "tRNA". From Rfam's summary of the family: Transfer RNA (tRNA) molecules are approximately 80 nucleotides in length. Their secondary structure includes four short double-helical elements and three loops (D, anti-codon, and T loops). The record is from Rfam by way of RNAcentral. Lineage: Eukaryota; Metazoa; Chordata; Mammalia; Carnivora; Felidae.